Molecule: small nucleolar RNA, 135 nt
Organism: Rattus norvegicus (Norway rat)
Lineage: Eukaryota; Metazoa; Chordata; Mammalia; Rodentia; Muridae
Source: Ensembl
CCCCUUUUAAAAGCACUCAGUGUGCCUUUUGCUGAUGACCCACUGAGCUGUCAGGAAGGGGCAGAGUGGAAACAGCACUUCUGGUGACGAGGCAACAUGAUGUGUUGUUUAACUUCAGUCGGUGUUGUGACAAGA